UACUACCGGACGGCUCGCCAGCAGAGCCAAC
This 31-nucleotide small RNA is filed under the name Bombyx mori (domestic silkworm). Its description in RNAcentral is "ovarian small RNA-21257". The record is from RNAcentral. Lineage: Eukaryota; Metazoa; Arthropoda; Insecta; Lepidoptera; Bombycidae.